GACGUAGGAUGCGAGCGUUGUCCGGAAUUAUUGGGCGUAAAGCGUACGUAGGCGGUUCUUUAAGUUUGGGGUUAAAGACCAAGGCUCAACCUUGGGAGUGCCCUGAAUACUGGGGGACUGGAGGGCGGCAGAGGAAAGUGGAAUUCCCAGUGUAGCGGUGAAAUGCGUAGAUAUUGGGAGGAACACCAGUGGCGAAAGCGACUUUCUGGGCCGUUCCUGACGCUGAGGUACGAAAGCCAGGGGAGCAAACGGG
Molecule: unclassified non-coding RNA, 253 nt
Filed under: Nannocystineae bacterium
Lineage: Bacteria; Pseudomonadati; Myxococcota; Myxococcia; Myxococcales
Also listed under: 1 other name
Description: partial 16S ribosomal RNA
Rfam family: Bacterial small subunit ribosomal RNA
Source: RNAcentral